This 305-nucleotide ribosomal RNA is filed under the name uncultured bacterium. RNAcentral describes it as "bacterial SSU rRNA". It matches the Rfam family "Bacterial small subunit ribosomal RNA", at positions 338 to 660 of the family's 1533-position model. The record is from RNAcentral.
CCUACGGGGGGCAGCAGUGGGGAAUAUUGCACAAUGGGGGAAACCCUGAUGCAGCGACGCCGCGUGAAGGACGAAGUAUUUCGGUACGUAAACUUCUAUCAGCAGGGAAGAAAAUGACGGUACCUGACUAAGAAGCCCCGGCUAACUACGUGCCAGCAGCCGCGGUAAUACGUAGGGGGCAAGCGUUAUCCGGAUUUACUGGGUGUAAAGGGAGCGUAGGCGGCCACGCAAGUCAGAAGUGAAAACCCGGGGCUCAACCCUGGGAGUGCUUUUGAAACUGUGCGGCUAGAGUGUCGGAGGGGUAA